GAAAUGCGAUAAGUAGUGUGAAUUGCAGAAUUCAGUGAAUCAUCGAAUCUUUGAACGCACAUUGCGCUUCCUGGUAUUCCGGGGAGCAUGCUCGUUUCAGAAUCAUUAAAAACUCACGCUCUUUGGUUUGCUCACACACUGUGACAGGCUAUUAGAUGCGUGGAUGUGAGCGUUUUUGGCUACAGUCAGCAUCGCUUUAAAAUGAUUAUGUACGCAACCCUUGCCUUUGGCGGGCUGCCAACAGUGCGACAAUGUUUUUAACAUGUUCAUUUUUGGCUGCUGCGGAAGGCUGGCGCGUGUAACUCUACUCCAACACAAAACGUAUGGCAUACGCCUAUGCUUUGAAACUUGGUCUGAAAUCGAGCAAGAAAACCCGCUGAACUUAA
This 386-nucleotide unclassified non-coding RNA is filed under the name uncultured Chytridiomycota. RNAcentral's name for it is "sequence contains ITS1". The stretch from base 1 to 105 matches the Rfam family "5.8S ribosomal RNA", at positions 50 to 154 of the family's 154-position model. The record is from RNAcentral. Lineage: Eukaryota; Fungi; Chytridiomycota.